ACAAGCUUCUCAAAGAAUGGGUCACAUGUCAAGAGAACUGAAAAACAAGAGCGGGCAGGCUCUGAAGCAAGUCCUGUGAAGAAUUUUCUAAUGAAGAGAGAGGCUACUUCCUGGAAAGCCGUCAGGGUUGUAUAGAAAGUUGGCUGUGAAGCACUGUUCAAAAUGCUCUUUUUUGGUGAAGUUGGGCCUAUAGUCAGCUUAUUCUCUCCAUGGCAACCCACUGGGGACAGGCUGGGUCAGAGGUAGGCACCCAGACGUCAUGUCCAUCUGAGUCAUCCAAGGGAGCUGAGAGGCAAAGAAGACAGAGCUAUGGCUCUGGUGCUUUACCUUGGAGUGAAGGGGACACCCAGUGGAAUAGCAAAGAUGUGGCUCCAGUGAAAAUUCAAUCCAAACUUUGACUUUGGGGACAUCAUGACCACACUACCAAAAGUCAAUCUGUGUUGCCUCAGGUUCUUCAUGUUU
Molecule: long non-coding RNA, 462 nt
Filed under: Homo sapiens (human)
Lineage: Eukaryota; Metazoa; Chordata; Mammalia; Primates; Hominidae
Description: HSALNT0180267
Source: RNAcentral